Long non-coding RNA from Archocentrus centrarchus (flier cichlid), 834 nucleotides. RefSeq lists it as uncharacterized. The record is from RefSeq and is a predicted model, not a curated record. The transcript has 4 exons. NCBI's taxonomy places the organism in Eukaryota, Metazoa, Chordata, Actinopteri, Cichliformes, Cichlidae.
CGGGAGGAAUGGUGGAAGCUGCGGUUUUACGGAGAGUGUUGAGUUAGUGCAGCUGGAUUUGAUGACCCCCCAGGGACCACGUCGGAAAAAGCAGUGUAGUCUCUUAUCAUCACCUCAGUGUGAGGCGCCAGUAAAUAAAAUAAUGAAGAUUAGGAUCAGAUGGAUGCAGGUGAACUCUAAAUUCAGGGACAAAACAAAACAAAAUCAAAGACAUUUUUUCCUUCCUGCUCUGGAUUAUGGUGAACUCAGUGUUUAGAUACUCAUCAUUGCAUUUCUGUGAAAAAGUUGGAGAUCUUCUUUCUCUAUAAACAUGUGAUAGGCCUUUGCUAGUGUUUAUCUGAAACUCUGCCUAUCACUACAAGUCCCUCACUGAGCUGGGAAGAACUGCUUUUAGUUUGUAUGUGUUGACCACCUGGAAGUCUUGAUAAAAUGCCCUAAAAUGAAUUUUAGCAACUUAAUGAAACCAUUUUAGCUUCUGUCUGUACUUCAUGAGUCGCCUCUCAUAUCCUGAUCUCAUAUCUUUAAUUCAUUUUAUUUGUAUAUUGUUUUAUUAUGGUUCUUUUCAAAGUUUAUCUUCUACAGGUUUUUGCCAUUUUAAAAGCUCCAGCUGAUUGCAACUGAUUGCUCGCCCUGAUUUAUUUUUAUGAAAAUAAAUUCAGCCAAUCAAUCCACUGUUACCCUGCCCUUCCAAAUUGCUUUGCUCCUGUUUCUAAAUGUAAUUUUAAAAAAAGUGAAGCACAGCAAUCAGUCACUGUUAAGCCAGAAUAUAUCAUCAAAUGUACCUCAUGAUUUAUGAUUUUUUUUUUUAUGCCCUUCCCCUCGCUGGCACUUACU